RNAcentral lists this ribosomal RNA (283 nucleotides) under uncultured bacterium. RNAcentral's name for it is "partial 16S ribosomal RNA". It matches the Rfam family "Bacterial small subunit ribosomal RNA", at positions 338 to 637 of the family's 1533-position model. The record is from RNAcentral.
CCUACGGGGGGCAGCAGUGGGGAAUAUUGCACAAUGGGGGAAACCCUGAUGCAGCGACGCCGCGUGAGUGAAGAAGUAUUUCGGUAUGUAAAGCUCUAUCAGCAGGGAAGAAGCAAGACGGUACCUGACUAAGAAUCCCCGGCUAACUACGUGCCAGCAGCCGCGUUAAUACGUAGGGGGCAAGCGUUAUCCGGAUUUACUGGGUGUAAAGGGAGCGUAGGCGGUAUGGCAAGUCUGAAGUGAAAGCCCAGGGCUUAACCCUUGGACUGCUUUGGAAACUGUU